Molecule: ribosomal RNA, 544 nt
Filed under: uncultured bacterium
Lineage: Bacteria
Description: bacterial SSU rRNA
Rfam family: Bacterial small subunit ribosomal RNA
Source: RNAcentral
GGAAUCUUGCGCAAUGGGCGAAAGCCUGACGCAGCAACGCCGCGUGCGGGAUGAAGGCCUUCGGGUUGUAAACCGCUUUUACCAGGAAGGAAAAUGACAGUACCUGGAGAAUAAGGUGCGGCCAACUACGUGCCAGCAGCCGCGGUGACACGUAGGCACCAAGCGUUGUCCGGAUUUAUUGGGCGUAAAGAGCUCGUAGGCGGUUCAGUAAGUCGGGUGUGAAAACUCUGGGCUCAACUCAGAGACGCCACCCGAUACCGCUGUGACUUGAGUCCGGUAGGGGAGUGGGGAAUUCCUGGUGUAGCGGUGAAAUGCGCAGAUAUCAGGAGGAACACCAAUGGCGAAGGCACCACUCUGGGCCGAGACUGACGCUGAGGAGCGAAAGCGUGGGUAGCAAACAGGAUUAGAUACCCUGGUAGUCCACGCCGUAAACGGUGGGCACUAGGUGUGGGUUCCAACCAACGGAAUCCGCGCCGGCGCUAACGCAUUAAGUGCCCCGCCUGGGGAGUACGGCCGCAAGGUUAAAACUCAAAGGAAUUGACGG